This 509-nucleotide ribosomal RNA is filed under the name uncultured eukaryote. Its description in RNAcentral is "SSU rRNA". It matches the Rfam family "Eukaryotic small subunit ribosomal RNA", at positions 636 to 1177 of the family's 1831-position model. The record is from RNAcentral.
GUCCGCCCUCUGGGUGCGUAUCUGGCUCGGCUUGGGCAUCUUCUUGGAGAACGUAUCUGCACUUGACUGUGUGGUGCGGUAUCCAGGACUUUUACUUUGAGGAAAUUAGAGUGUUUCAAGCAGGCACACGCCCUGAAUACAUUAGCAUGGAAUAAUAAGAUAGGACCUCGGUUCUAUUUUGUUGGUUUCUAGAGCUGAGGUAAUGAUUAAUAGGGAUAGUUGGGGGCAUUCGUAUUUAACUGUCAGAGGUGAAGUUCUUGGAUUUGUUAAAGACGGACUACUGCGAAAGCAUUUGCCAAGGAUGUUUUCAUUGAUCAAGAACGAAAGUUAGGGGAUCGAAGACGAUCAGAUACCGUCCUAACCAUAAACCAUGCCGACUAGAGAUUGGAGGUCGUUAUCCAUACGACUCCUUCAGCACCUUAUGAGAAAUUAAAGUCUUUGGGUUCCGGGGGGAGUAUGGUCGCAAGGCUGAAACUUAAAGGAAUUGAUGGAAGGGCACCACCAGGAGU